RNAcentral lists this unclassified non-coding RNA (346 nucleotides) under soil metagenome. RNAcentral describes it as "partial contains 5.8S ribosomal RNA, internal transcribed spacer 2, and large subunit ribosomal RNA". The stretch from base 1 to 120 matches the Rfam family "5.8S ribosomal RNA", at positions 35 to 154 of the family's 154-position model. The record is from RNAcentral.
GAUGAAGAAACGUAGCGAAAUGCGAUACGUAAUGUGAAUUGCAAAUUCAGUGAAUCAUCGAGUCUUUGAACGCACAUUGCGCCCCCUGGUAUUCCGGGGGGCAUGCCUGUCCGAGCGUCAUUGCUGCCCUCAAGCACGGCUUGUGUGUUGGGCCCCGUCCUCCGAUUCCGGGGGACGGGCCCGAAAGGCAGCGGCGGCACCGCGUCCGGUCCUCGAGCGUAUGGGGCUUUGUCACCCGCUCUGUAGGCCCGGCCGGCGCUUGCCGAUCAACCCAAAUUUUUAUCCAGGUUGACCUCGGAUCAGGUAGGGAUACCCGCUGAACUUAAGCAUAUCAAUAAGCGGAGGA